RNAcentral lists this ribosomal RNA (427 nucleotides) under uncultured bacterium. Its description in RNAcentral is "bacterial SSU rRNA". It matches the Rfam family "Bacterial small subunit ribosomal RNA", at positions 355 to 774 of the family's 1533-position model. The record is from RNAcentral.
UGGGGAAUUUUGGACAAUGGACGCAAGUCUGAUCCAGCCAUGCCGCGUGCGGGAAGAAGGCCUUCGGGUUGUAAACCGCUUUUGUCAGGGAAGAAACGAGUUUCUCUAAUACAGAGACUUAAUGACGGUACCUGAAGAAUAAGCACCGGCUAACUACGUGCCAGCAGCCGCGGUAAUACGUAGGGUGCGAGCGUUAAUCUGAAUUACUGGGCGUAAAGCGUGCGCAGUCGGUUAUGUAAGACAGAUGUGAAAUCCCCGGGCUCAACCUGGGAACUGCAUUUGUGACUGCAUGGCUAGAGUACGGGAGAGGGGGAUGGAAUUCCGCGUGUAGCAGUGAAAUGCGUAGAUAUGCGGGGGAACACCGAUGGCGAAGGCAAUCCCCUGGACCUGGACUGACGCUCAUGCACGAAAGCGUGGGGAGCAAAAA